This 1560-nucleotide long non-coding RNA is filed under the name Vulpes vulpes (red fox). Its description in RNAcentral is "lncRNA (ENSVVUG00000028022.1)". The record is from RNAcentral. Lineage: Eukaryota; Metazoa; Chordata; Mammalia; Carnivora; Canidae.
CCCACCUCUGCAACAGAGGAAGGCAUAUGAAGAGGAGGGUGGGAUGGCUACUGAACACUAAUCCACCUUGUCCACUCCGGGCCACUCCCUCAGUGGUUAAAUGUCCAUACAGUCUCUUCUUCCCAAACGUAUCUGGGUUGGAUACUCUGCAUCUUCAUCUUCAUCUUCCCUUUAGCUCAGGCACAAUCCCAUCUUGAUGUCUCACCACCUCUGGGGUGACUUGGAAAAUUAAUCAUGCCCUGCAAAACCCUUCAUUAAACAUUGAAGGCAAAGGGGAGGGAAUAAAAAGAAAAGCGGUUGAUAUCUGUGGUAUGUAAACAGCGAGGGGAAAAAUGACAGGCUACUGCAGUCCUCACCUUUGCUGUUGUCACAAGUCCAUAGUUGGUAUUUAUAGCUUCUUCCUCUACAACCCAUUUCAGGCCGUCUUUGCUCCCAGCAAGUUUGCUCAGGGGACCAGACUUCUUUGCCUGGUGGCAGGACCUACAUCUUCAUGCCUGAGGGGUCUGAAGGUCUAGAUUUGCUUAAGCUUCUCUAACUUUUGCCACUGGACGUGGCGGUACAAGGAGGUACCCCAGAGGCUCUACUGGCCCUCACGAUGCAAUAGCAAUCUCAAUUUUCUGAUUGUCAGAAACCCAGUGAUCAUGAGGAACUCAGUGACCAGGUGAAAGUCUUGCCUGUAGUACAGUGGAACCAUGUGUCCCCUGAAUGGAAGAGUCCAUGAAUCUCUAAACAACAAGUCAAAGUCAGAGAGAUGCAAAUAAUUUUUUUAAUAUAUGCUCAAGCUUGAUAAUGAGGUGCCUUUCCUGUGUCUAUCCCCUGGUUCCCAGAUCUAUGAGAUUUGCUGAUGGAAGAAACAAUCCCCGCAUAAAAACAGCUGGUUUGAAGCAUAUACCACAACCUGGAGGAAAGUACUGUGCAAGAUGUGGCUCAGCUGUCUCCCGCAGGCCCUUCCUCUUUCUGUGCGGCAGCGUUCUGAGGGAUGGUCACCGAGUAGGCUCAGUGAGUCCCAUGGAGGUAAAGAAAUAAAAUUAAUGCCCUGAAAUCAUUAGAAGGUUAAGAACAAGGAUGUCCAACUCAGAGAGACUGAAGAGCUCCAAAUAGGAGGUAAGAAUAUGUGGAAGAGGGGCACCUGGGUGGCUCAGUUGGUUAAGCAUCUGCCUUUGGCUCAGGUCAUGAUCUCAGGGGCCUGGGAUCAAGCUCCCUGCUCAGCAUAGUGUCUGCUUCUCCCUCUCCCUCUGCCUGCCACUCCCCCUGCUUGUGCUCUCUCGCUGUCUCUCUCUGUCAAAUAAGUAAAAUCUUAAAAAAAAAAAAAAAAAAGAAUAUGUUGAAGACAAACUUUACAUCUUUGUGCUUUCAUUGUGGUUACUCUACAAAGAUGCCCUAACCACCCCUCCUCCUUUUCUCCCUCACUCUGGCAGAUUUUCUUUGGCCACAUGAGCUCCUCAUCACAGGCAGGUUCAGGUCCAUCCAUACUUGGAGAUACCCUGUUACCUGUUUAUCCCUGAAUGUGUCAACACAGCUUCACAGAGCAAAUGAGCAAUAAAAUAUCUCAAACCGGAU